This 395-nucleotide ribosomal RNA is filed under the name uncultured bacterium. Its description in RNAcentral is "bacterial SSU rRNA". It matches the Rfam family "Bacterial small subunit ribosomal RNA", at positions 971 to 1425 of the family's 1533-position model. The record is from RNAcentral.
UUACCGGCUUGAACUUAAUGAAAGGUCUUCGGAGAGAGGUGCUGCAUGGCUGUCGUCAGCUCGUGUCGUGAGAUGUUCGGUUAAGUCCGGCAACGAGCGCAACCCUGUUCUAGUUGCCAUCAUAUGGGACUCUAGAAGACUGCCGGCGAUAACUGGAGGAAGGUGGGGAUGACGUCAAGUCCUCAUGGCCCUUACGCCGGGCUACACACGUGCUACAAUGGGGUACACGGGGCACCGCGAGGGGAGCAAUCCCUAAACCGUCUCAGUUCAGAUUGCAGUCUGCAACUCGACUGCAUGAAGUCGGAAUCGCUAGUAAUCGCGAUCAGCACGCGCGGUGAAUACGUUCCCGGGCCUUGUACACACCGCCCGUCACGCCAUGGGAGUUGGAGACCGAA